This 254-nucleotide ribosomal RNA is filed under the name uncultured bacterium. RNAcentral describes it as "partial 16S ribosomal RNA". It matches the Rfam family "Bacterial small subunit ribosomal RNA", at positions 524 to 776 of the family's 1533-position model. The record is from RNAcentral.
UACGUAGGGUGCGAGCGUUGUCCGGAAUUAUUGGGCGUAAAGAGCUCGUAGGCGGUCUGUCGCGUCGAUCGUGAAAACUUGGGGCUUAACCCUGAGCUUGCGGUCGAUACGGGCAUGACUGGAGUUCGGCAGGGGAGACUGGAAUUCCUGGUGUAGCGGUGAAAUGCGCAGAUAUCAGGAGGAACACCGGUGGCGAAGGCGGGUCUCUGGGCCGAUACUGACGCUGAGGAGCGAAAGCGUGGGGAGCGGACAGG